Long non-coding RNA from Xenopus laevis (African clawed frog), 2766 nucleotides. RefSeq lists it as uncharacterized. The record is from RefSeq and is a predicted model, not a curated record. The transcript has 4 exons. Lineage: Eukaryota; Metazoa; Chordata; Amphibia; Anura; Pipidae.
GUUCCGUGAAGCUGCUUGGGUACCACCAGUUAGGGGAAAGGAAGAGAAACAUGUCUUCUGUAGGGGAUAGUUGAAGUUAGAUUUCUUGAAGUACUGAUGAGAUUGGUGGCAUUUAGUUCUCCUGCUGCUUCUUAUCAGGUGCCCUUCAAGAGGCGUCCGCUGAGGAGAAAGAAAAAAAAAAUAGCUCUCCCAAGCCUCCGAGAAAUUUCCAUCAGAGAGGUUUAACAAAACAAACAAAUUUUCACAAACAUAAUAAAUAAACCAGAAAAUGGCGACAAUGAGGAUGAAGGAUUCCUCUUGUUUCGUUCAUCUGUUCCUGGGGAAGCUGGAAUGGUAACAUCAUCUACAAUUCCUAGAAGAAAAUUGGCUUCUUCUAGCAGGCAGGUUGAAAGUGUUCUUGCAGUUAAUUAUGGUGGGCUACAGCUAGAGGGAUGAGUCAGUGGAAUUUCUAGAGUGGUUGUGUUGCUGUUCUAUUUGAACUAGAGAUUUUCUGAGACCUGCAUACUUCUUAGUGAGGAGGAGCAGCAGAGGUGUCUGGAGGCAGCAGUCUCAGCCGAUGACAUUCUCAGACACAGUUCACUGCAGCAGAAGCCGAGUACACCUUUCAAUAUCGGUGACCAUCAACCACACAAAAAGAAAAGGAAGAAGAAAAAGACAGAGGAGAUACAGCUGAGGUAAAACCAGAGGGGCAGACAUUGCACAUAGAGCCUGGAAAGAAUGAGCUACAGGUGAAAAGAAAAAAGAAGAAACAUAAUGUAGAAAUGGCACAUUGCGAUGAACUGGUAAAAUGAGUAGUGGAAAAAUGAAACCUUACUACUACUCGCAAAGUCCAUUCAUUUGCCAAGGAGAUUACCUUCCUAAAACAGCUGCAUUCUUAGUAUUUUGUGAGUACAUGGCAAUUGGAUCAGAUGGUAUCCAGUCCGCAUCUGGCAGUGUAUCUUGCCCACACCUAUGGCAAAUGUUUGUGUCCUCUGCUCUGAGGCAGGUUGCUGUACUGGCGAGAUAAAAGUAAAGCAGUGGUACUUGUUGAUACCCAACUUCCAAGGUCGUUCAGGGAGAGAAGACAUUUGGCAAUUAAAUACACCACUGAACCCUUGACAUAUAAUGGGCAGUUGAUUACAGGUUUGUUUUGUCCAUUAUAUUCUGUCUCACUGUGAGGAAGAUGCCAUUUGGGUGGAUAUGAAACUGUCAAUAGUAUUGUGUGAAGGCGACAACAGGUGACUGUGGUUCUCUGGAGAACUUGAAUUGUGAUAGUGUACCAAGCUGGCGGAGGAUACUGUGGGAUAAAUAAAAAUAUAAUCAUAUCAUACGUCUUCAUAUUGUGUUUCUCACAAUAGUCUGUAUGGCAACUGAUUAAUAUCUCUGCUUUUUUUUAUAUAAGGGAUGAUUUUAGUCCCUGAAUUUAUUUUACCAUUUUAUCCUUUAAUGUAAAGAUAUCUGUGUAACUCUUUCAAUCCCAGCUACUGUUCACCUUAUCUGAUGGCAGCCAUAAGUUUACAAAUAUAUAUGUAAUGUCUUUGUAAAUGUUCUAAUAUGGUGAAAGAUAAAGUGAAAGAGGAUAUCUUACAGUAAAUGUUCUUGAAUUUCAAUCAGUACCUUAUUCAGCUCUAUCGUCUUGUUCUUUUAUGUUAAUUCCCGCCAUGCAUACGCAUUUGUAAGCAGGCUGGAUAUGGCCAUGCAAACUUUUUGAGAUAGGAAAGUGCAAUAGUUCAUCAUAUGACUUAUGUUAUGCAGAUUAUAUUUUAGAUACUGACAGGAGUGUGAUCUUUUGAAAAAAACAAAAAUCUUUUAUUGUUUUUUACCUUGUGAAAUAUUGCAUAUCCAGAGUUACAGAGCUAACACUUUUCUUUUCUGACAUUGUUACCUACAGCUUUCCAAAUUUAAAUACUAUCUGGUUUUCAUUGCCACUGACUGUUGCAGUCAGGUAGUGGUUUGAAUAACCAUUUACGUUUCCCUUCAAUUUCCUCAGUUCAAGUUAAAACAUUUUUUAAAAAUGUUGAUUUUUCAUAGUUAAAACAAUAGACAAAAAAGGAUGGUUUAUGCCUACUUAUAUUGCCAAUUAAAAAACCUGAAAAAUGCUUAUUGUCUAAGUAUUCUAUCUCUGUGUUGUAGAAGUUAUUAGUUUAAGAGCUGGCAUAACUAUGGAGCAGUCAUCCUACAAUUAGCCUCCAGGAUUAUUUAAAUAACUGCCAUGUUUUCUGAACAAAUACCCUACAGUUAACGUGAAUUAUACAUGUUUACUUGACUGUAUGGUCUGUACCCACAGGAUCUUGCUGAACUGCCAAACACAAGUGAGACGCUGAAUGUUGCACCCUUCCUGUGUUUGGUGAUUCAGCAAGGUGCUGUGGGUAUAGUUUUGCAUGGUGAACAUAUAAAGACUUUUGUUUUUUAUUUUAAAUAUACAGGCUUUUUAUAUUUACAUUCUGAGGACUGUAUUGCUAAUAAGAUGUCUGAGGAAGGGGCACGCCCCCGAAACGUUACAUCACUGACGCAAUAAACACGCAGGGGUUAACCACCGCUACACUAGCCAUCGAGUGUUGGUAUUUUUCCUGACUGUAUUGCUAAUAGCCAGUGACACUAUUGUGUACAGAUUCACAUGCAAGUUACUAACAACGGUUUAACUAUUUUAAUACUAUUGGUCAGGUUAAUUCACUGAUUUCAGUGCUUUUACCACAUAAUGGGUUCUUUUUUUCUCCUUGUAACCCUUUUAUGCAUCAGUGCUUUUUAAUAUAAUAUCUCCAAUAAAGAUCCCAAGUUUUGCUUUUU